Molecule: transfer RNA, 91 nt
Filed under: Bacillota bacterium
Lineage: Bacteria; Bacillati; Bacillota
Also listed under: 2 other names
Description: tRNA-Ser
Rfam family: tRNA
About the family: Transfer RNA (tRNA) molecules are approximately 80 nucleotides in length.
Source: RNAcentral
GGAGAGCUGGCUGAGUGGCUGAAGGCGCACGAUUGGAAAUCGUGUUAACGUUCAUAGCGUUACGAGGGUUCAAAUCCCUCGCUCUCCGCCA